AUUUCAAAGAAGAUUGCUGGUGUUGAGCGCACACGUUUAAGGGUCAUUGCAAAAACUUUACAGCCUCAAGGAUAUGGUCUUACAGUAAGGACAGUUGCAGCUGGUCAUUCACUAAAUGAAUUGCAGAAGGACUUGGAAGGGUUGCUUUCAACUUGGAAAAGUAUAAUUGAGCAUGCAAAGUCUGCAGCUCUUGCCGCAGAUGAAGGUGUUGAUGGAGCAGUUCCUG
RNAcentral lists this unclassified non-coding RNA (226 nucleotides) under Hevea brasiliensis (rubber tree). The record is from RNAcentral. Lineage: Eukaryota; Viridiplantae; Streptophyta; Magnoliopsida; Malpighiales; Euphorbiaceae.